Molecule: ribosomal RNA, 253 nt
Filed under: uncultured bacterium
Lineage: Bacteria
Description: partial 16S ribosomal RNA
Rfam family: Bacterial small subunit ribosomal RNA
Source: RNAcentral
UACGAAGGGUGCAAGCGUUACUCGGAAUUACUGGGCGUAAAGCGUGCGUAGGUGGUUCGUUAAGUCUGUCGUGAAAGCCCCGGGCUCAACCUGGGAAUGGCGAUGGAUACUGGCGGGCUAGAGUGCGGUAGAGGAGAGUGGAAUUCCCGGUGUAGCAGUGAAAUGCGUAGAGAUGUGGAGGAACACCGAUGGCGAAGGCAGCCCCCUGGGCUAGUACUGACGCUCAUGCACGAAAGCGUGGGGAGCAAACAGG